Molecule: ribosomal RNA, 460 nt
Filed under: uncultured bacterium
Lineage: Bacteria
Description: partial 16S ribosomal RNA
Rfam family: Bacterial small subunit ribosomal RNA
Source: RNAcentral
CCUACGGGAGGCAGCAGUGAGGAAUAUUGGUCAAUGGGCGAGAGUCUGAACCAGCCAAGUAGCGUGAAGGAUGACUGCCCUAUGGGUUGUAAACUUCUUUUAUCUGGGAAUAAAAUGUUCCACGUGUGGGAUUUCGUAUGUACCAUAUGAAUAAGGAUCGGCUAACUCCGUGCCAGCAGCCGCGGUAAUACGGAGGAUCCGAGCGUUAUCCGGAUUUAUUGGGUUUAAAGGGGGCGUAGGUGGAUUGUUAAGUCAGGUGUGAAAGUUUGCGGCUCAACCGUAAAAUUGCAGUUGAAACUGGCAGUCUAGAGUACAGUAGAGGUGGGCGGAAUGCGUGGUGUAGCGGUGAAAUGCUUAGAUAUCACGAAGAACUCCGAUUGCGAAGGCAGCUCACUGGACUGCAACUGACACUGAGGCACGAAAGUGUGGGUAUCAAACAGGAUUAGAUACCCCUGUAGUC